AAGGCUUUAGCUUAAUUAAAGUGCCUGUUUUGCAUACAGGAGAUGUGGGUUAGUCUCCUGCAAGUCUUA
RNAcentral lists this transfer RNA (69 nucleotides) under Chaetodermis penicilligerus (prickly leatherjacket). RNAcentral's name for it is "tRNA-Ala". It matches the Rfam family "tRNA". Rfam says of the family: Transfer RNA (tRNA) molecules are approximately 80 nucleotides in length. Their secondary structure includes four short double-helical elements and three loops (D, anti-codon, and T loops). Further hydrogen bonds mediate the characteristic L-shaped molecular structure. tRNAs have two regions of fundamental functional importance: the anti-codon, which is responsible for specific mRNA codon recognition, and the 3' end, to which the tRNAs corresponding amino acid is attached (by aminoacyl-tRNA synthetases). tRNAs cope with the degeneracy of the genetic code in two manners: having more than one tRNA (with a specific anti-codon) for a particular amino acid; and 'wobble' base-pairing, i.e. permitting non-standard base-pairing at the 3rd anti-codon position. The record is from RNAcentral. Lineage: Eukaryota; Metazoa; Chordata; Actinopteri; Tetraodontiformes; Monacanthidae.